This is a long non-coding RNA of Ochotona princeps (American pika), 383 nucleotides long. RefSeq lists it as uncharacterized. NCBI's taxonomy places the organism in Eukaryota, Metazoa, Chordata, Mammalia, Lagomorpha, Ochotonidae. The record is from RefSeq and is a predicted model, not a curated record. The transcript is spliced from 3 exons.
GGCACACAUCACAUACUUUGCCUGCUGUUCCCCAGGGCCCUCUGCUGCCUCAUGGGAAUCAGAUUGGAUCAUUACCUGGUGCACAUCCACCAGCCCAGGCACCAGGCCAGCCAGAACCAGCAGCUCAUGAUGUACCGCCAACCUCACAUGCCUCUGUCCUACCUGGCCCUGCGUAUCGACCUUCUUCUGAGCCAGCUACAGGACCAGGAGCCCAAGGAGGCAGAGCCUGAGCCUCAGGGUCUUACCAAUGAUUCUGCGCCAACUCCUGCAGCUGCUCUCCAGCCACAGGCCCCAGAACCUGCUCUGGAGCCCCCAGAAUGCCCAGGAGCCGAGACCCAGGCAGAACCUCCACGCGGAAAGACCACACACUGGCCCUGGAGCCG